This is a long non-coding RNA of Astatotilapia calliptera (eastern happy), 1011 nucleotides long. The record is from Ensembl. NCBI's taxonomy places the organism in Eukaryota, Metazoa, Chordata, Actinopteri, Cichliformes, Cichlidae.
CUGGAUAUCUGAGGCCUGGAUCUCCUCCAUACCUGCUUCAUACCCUGGUGGACGGGGCUAUGGCUCCCCACACUCCCUAGCAGAUCGUUACAUGGAGAAACCUUUGGAAUACAAGCGUGCUGAUCCACACAGGUAUGCACACAGGUGUACACACGGGUAUUCACAGACGCGGACUACACCUUUCUUGGCUGCUGCCUCAAAGCACAUUGUGCGCUGUCUAUCUUGCGUGCUGCACAAUAUCGUUUAUUAUUUAGUAUCUACUGUUAUCUACUGCUAGCUAGUUUAUUGUGAUGGUGCUGUUUUUUUAUUAUGUUGCUCUUGUGUUGUUUGCUUUCUCUUCUGUUUUUUUUCUCCAUACAGGUGAUCCAGGUGCUUUGUUUGUUUUUUUGUUUUUGUUUUCUUUCUUUUUUUCUUUCUUUCUUCCCCCCCUUCUCACCGUCUCUUCUCCCCUUUGGUUUUCUUUCUCUCCCUCUCUUUCUUUCAUUCUUUCUCCCUGUCCUAUCCCCCAGUCAUGUCUGUCCCGUUUGUAGCAACUGAAAAUAAAAUAAAUUCAUAAUUAUAAUAAAGGUCAAUCAAAUGGACCAAUAUGGCAAGACCAUGAUGAUCCACUUGGUAAAAUAAAUCCGCUUGGCUUCUUUCUUGGCCUUAAGACAACAAUUCUGAUGGCUAAAGAUCCAAACUGGACACACAAAAAAAAGACUUAUGUCAAGUAUAAAUGUGUUUCAACAGGGUAUAUAACAAAAGCCUUUGUACUUGUUUUUACUGCACUACAAACUUAAAGUACAAUAUGUUAAAAACAAACAAACAAACAAAGAAAACCAAAUGAUUAUAUUCACAAUAAAGUACUAAUGCCUUAAAAGGAAAUACUGCCCAGAUAGUGAGGUACCAGAGACGUUUGGACUCUGUGAGUGCUCAGUGUUUGGCUUACUUUGAAAAGCAGUGUUGUGAGACUGGUCAGGUGUGUCUGAGUAAGGGCAGUUGAUUUGAGCACAACGACUCUCUCUCUCUCUC